AUCCGGUGGUUCUGCGUGGAAGGGCCAUCGCUCAACGGAUAAAAGCUACCCUGGGGAUAACAGGCUUAUCUCCCCCAAGAGUCCACAUCGACGGGGGGGUUUGGCACCUCGAUGUCGGCUCAUCACAGCCUGGGGCUGUAGUAGGUCCCAAGGGUUGGGCUGUUCGCCCAUUAAAGUGGUACGCGAGCUGGGUUCAGAACGUCGUGAGACAGUUCGGUCCCUAU
Molecule: ribosomal RNA, 224 nt
Filed under: Clostridioides difficile
Lineage: Bacteria; Bacillati; Bacillota; Clostridia; Peptostreptococcales; Peptostreptococcaceae
Description: partial 23S ribosomal RNA
Rfam family: Bacterial large subunit ribosomal RNA
Source: RNAcentral